Molecule: ribosomal RNA, 1678 nt
Filed under: Acidobacteriota bacterium
Lineage: Bacteria; Pseudomonadati; Acidobacteriota
Description: bacterial LSU rRNA
Rfam family: Bacterial large subunit ribosomal RNA
Source: RNAcentral
CCCUGCCGGCAUAAGUAGCGAUAAAGCCUGUGAGAAACAGGCUCGCCGAAAGUCUAAGGUUUCCUGAGGAAGGUUAAUCCGCUCAGGGUUAGUCGGUCCCUAAGCCGAGGCCGAAAGGCGUAGGCGAUGGGUGCUCCGGUUAAUAUUCCGGGACCACCUUGGUGCGUUUGAGCGAUGGGGUGACGCGGAAGGAUAGGCAUACGCACGACUGGAAAUGUGCGGCCGCGAUUCUAGGGGGAUCUCCAGGCAAAUCCGGGGAUCACAUACUCCGAGGAAAGCGGGGAAGCGCGGCUUCGGCCAAGCCAACUUGUCGACUCCAUGCCGCCAAGAAAAACCUCUAGCAAGCAUUCAAGGUGACCGUACCGCAAACCGACACAGGUAGACGAGGAGAGAAUCCUAAGGCGCUUGAGUGAUCCCACGUUAAGGAACUCGGCAAUCUAGCCCCGUAACUUCGGGAGAAGGGGUGCCCCUGUAGGGUGACCAUCCUCGCGGUGGAAGCCCGAGGGGGCCGCAGUGAAAGGGCCCAUACGACUGUUUACUAAAAACACAGGUCGCUGCGAAGUCCAAAACGACGUAUAGCGACUGACGCCUGCCCAAUGCCGGAAGGUUAAAGUGAGGGGUCAUCGGGGAGCAAUCCCCGAGAAGCUCUGACCUGAAGCCCCGGUGAAUGGCGGCCGUAACUAUAACGGUCCUAAGGUAGCGAAAUUCCUUGUCGGGUAAGUUCCGACCUGCACGAAUGGCGUAACGAGAUGGGCGCUGUCUCGACGUGGGGCUCAGCGAAUUUGUAGCACCGGUGAAGAUGCCGGUUUCCCGCACCUAGACGGAAAGACCCCGUGCACCUUUACUAUAGCCUAGCAAUGAACUUUGGCCUGGUAUGCGUAGCAUAGGUGGGAGGCUUUGAAGCGUGGCCUUCGGGCUGCGUGGAGCCACCAGUGAAAUACCACCCUUACCGCGCCGAAGUUCUAACCCACGAUCGUGAUCCGGUCGGGGGACAUUGUUAGGUGGGUAGUUUGACUGGGGCGGUCGCCUCCUAAAUUGUAACGGAGGCGCGCGAAGGUUCCCUCAGGCUGUUUGGAAAUCAGCCGCAGAGUGUAAGGGCAUUAUGGGAGCUUGACUGCGAGACCGACAAGUCGAGCAGGUACGAAAGUAGGCCCUAGUGAUCCGGCGGUCCCGCAUGGAAGGGCCGUCGCUCAACGGAUAAAAGGUACGCCGGGGAUAACAGGCUUAUCUGGUCCAAGAGUUCACAUCGACGACCAGGUUUGGCACCUCGAUGUCGGCUCAUCGCAUCCUGGGGCUGAAGCAGGUCCCAAGGGUUGGGCUGUUCGCCCAUUAAAGCGGUACGUGAGCUGGGUUUAGAACGUCGUGAGACAGUUCGGUCCCUAUCUGGUGUGGGCGCAGGAUACUUGCGGGGAUCUGUCCCUAGUACGAGAGGACCGGGAUGGACGGACCACUAGUGUACCAGUUGUUCCGCCAGGAGCAGCGCUGGGUAGCUAUGUCCGGAAAGGAGAAGCGCUGAAAGCAUAUAAGCGCGAAGCCCUCCCCGAGAUGAGGUAUCCCUUCCGCCUUCGGGCGGACUGAAGGCCCCUGGGAGACGACCAGGUUGAUAGGCCGGAGGUGUAAGUGGGGCAACCCACUCAGCUGACCGGUACUAAUCGGCCGUGAGGCUUGACCAUAUCUC